CGGACGGGUGAGUAACGCGUAGGAAUCUGCCUAAUAGUGGGGGACAACCUGGUGAAAACCAGGCUAAUACCGCAUACGCCCUACGGGGGAAAGGAUGGGAUCUUCGGACCAUUCGCUAUUAGAUGGGCCUGCGUCGGAUUAGCUAGUUGGUGAGGUAAUGGCUCACCAAGGCGACGAUCCGUAGCUGGUUUGAGAGAACGACCAGCCACACUGGGACUGAGACACGGCCCAGACUCCUACGGGAGGCAGCAGUGGGGAAUAUUGGACAAUGGGGGCAACCCUGAUCCAGCAAUACCGCGUGUGUGAAGAAGGCCUGAGGGUUGUAAAGCACUUUCAAUUGUGAAGAAAAGCAUAAGGUUAAUAGCCUUGUGUCUUGACGUUAACUUUAGAAGAAGCACCGGCUAACUCCGUGCCAGCAGCUGCGGUAAUACGGAGGGUGCAAGCGUUAAUCGGAAUUACUGGGCGUAAAGCGCGCGUAGGCGGUUUGGUCAGUCAGAUGUGAAAGCCCCGGGCUCAACCUGGGAAUUGCAUUUGAUACUGCUAAGCUAGAGUAUGGUAGAGGUAAGUGGAUUUCCAGGUGUAGCGGUGAAUGCGUAGAGAUCUGGAGGAUAUCAGUGGCGAAGGCGGCUUACUGGACCAAUACUGACGCUGAGGUGCGAAAGCGUGGGUAGCAACAGGAUUAGAUACCCUGGUAGUCCACGCUGUAAACGAUGUCACUAGCCGUUGGGUCCAUUUAAGGAUUUAGUGCGCAGCUACGCGAUAGGUUGACCGCUGGGGAGUACGGGC
This 786-nucleotide ribosomal RNA is filed under the name uncultured bacterium. Its description in RNAcentral is "bacterial SSU rRNA". It matches the Rfam family "Bacterial small subunit ribosomal RNA", at positions 99 to 887 of the family's 1533-position model. The record is from RNAcentral.